RNAcentral lists this transfer RNA (68 nucleotides) under Ictidomys tridecemlineatus (thirteen-lined ground squirrel). RNAcentral's name for it is "Spermophilus tridecemlineatus (thirteen-lined ground squirrel) tRNA". It matches the Rfam family "tRNA". Rfam says of the family: Transfer RNA (tRNA) molecules are approximately 80 nucleotides in length. Their secondary structure includes four short double-helical elements and three loops (D, anti-codon, and T loops). Lineage: Eukaryota; Metazoa; Chordata; Mammalia; Rodentia; Sciuridae. The record is from Rfam by way of RNAcentral.
GGGGUUGUAGCUCAGGAAAGAGCGCUUGCCUUGUAUGCAUGAGGCACUGGGUUUGAUCCUCAGCACCA